RNAcentral lists this non-coding RNA (29 nucleotides) under Rattus norvegicus (Norway rat). Lineage: Eukaryota; Metazoa; Chordata; Mammalia; Rodentia; Muridae. The record is from RNAcentral.
UCCUAUGGGAUCCUGAAAGAGGUGCUUUG